UACAGAGGGUGCAAGCGUUGUUCGGAAUUAUUGGGCGUAAAGCGCGUGUAGGCGGCUUUGCAAGUCGGGUGUGAAAGCCCUCAGCUCAACUGAGGAAGUGCGCCCGAAACUGCAGAGCUUGAGUGCCGGAGAGGGUGGCGGAAUUCCCCAAGUAGAGGUGAAAUUCGUAGAUAUGGGGAGGAACACCGGUGGCGAAGGCGGUUGCCUGGAGCUUUGCUGACGCUGAUGCGCGAAAGCGUGGGGAGCGAUCCGG
RNAcentral lists this ribosomal RNA (253 nucleotides) under uncultured bacterium. RNAcentral describes it as "partial 16S ribosomal RNA". It matches the Rfam family "Bacterial small subunit ribosomal RNA", at positions 524 to 776 of the family's 1533-position model. The record is from RNAcentral.